GAGUACGCGUGGGUAACCUGCCCCUGAAUCCGGAAUAACCCGCCGAAAGGCGGACUAAUACCGGAUGCCGUCCCGGAGUCGCAUGGCACUGGGAUGAAAGAUGACCUCUUCACGAAAGUUGUCGUUCAGGGAGGGGCUCGCGUACCAUUAGCUAGUUAGCAGGGUAAUGGCCUACCAAGGCGACGAUGGUUAGCUGGUCUGAGAGGAUGAUCAGCCACACUGGAACUGAAACACGGUCCAGACUCCUACGGGAGGCAGCAGUGAGGAAUUUUGCGCAAUAGGGGAAACCCUGACGCAGCAACGCCGCGUGAGUGAAGAAGGCCUUCGGGUCGUAAAGCUCUGUCAAGCGGGACAAAGUUCUGCGAGUGAACAGCUCGCAGAAGUGAUGGUACUGCUAGAGGAAGCACCGGCUAACUCCGUGCCAGCAGCCGCGGUAAUACGGAGGGUGCAAGCGUUGUUCGGAAUUACUGGGCGUAAAGCGCGUGCAGGCGGUUGAGUAAGUCAAAUGUGAAAGCCUUCCGCUUAACGGAAGAAGUGCAUUUGAAACUGCUCGGCUAGAGUACGGGAGAGGAGAGUGGAAUUCCCGGUGUAGAGGUGAAAUUCGUAGAUAUCGGGAGGAACACCAGUGGCGAAGCGGCUCUCUGGUCCGAUACUGACGCUGAGACGCGAAAGCGUGGGGAGCAAACAGGAUUAGAUACCCUGGUAGUCCACGCUGUAAACGAUGGGCACUAGGUGUAGGAGGUAUUGACCCCUUCUGUGCCGAAGCUAACGCAUUAAGUGCCCCGCCUGGGGAGUACGGUCGCAAGAUUAAAACUCAAAGGAAUUGACGGGGGCCCGCACAACGGUGGAGCAUGUGGUUCAAUUCGACGCAACGCGAAGAACCUUACCUGGGCUUGACAUCCGCUGACUGUCCUGGAAACAGGAUUUUCCCCGCAAGGGGACAGCGAGACAGGUGCUGCAUGGCUGUCGUCAGCUCGUGUCGUGAGAUGUUGGGUUAAGUCCCGCAACGAGCGCAACCCUCAUCUUUAGUUGCCAUCAUUGAGUUGGGCACUCUAAGGAAACUGCCCCGGUUAACGGGGAGGAAGGUGGGGAUGACGUCAAGUCCUCAUGGCCUUUAUGUCCAGGGCUACACACGUGCUACAAUGGGCGGUACAAAGGGUUGCUAUUCCGCGAGGAGGCGCCAAUCCCAAAAAGCCGUUCUCAGUUCGGAUCGGAGUCU
This 1219-nucleotide ribosomal RNA is filed under the name uncultured bacterium. RNAcentral's name for it is "bacterial SSU rRNA". It matches the Rfam family "Bacterial small subunit ribosomal RNA", at positions 108 to 1306 of the family's 1533-position model. The record is from RNAcentral.